Long non-coding RNA from Columba livia (rock pigeon), 32482 nucleotides. RefSeq lists it as uncharacterized. The record is from RefSeq and is a predicted model, not a curated record. NCBI's taxonomy places the organism in Eukaryota, Metazoa, Chordata, Aves, Columbiformes, Columbidae. The transcript has 11 exons.
ACAGAAAUUUCUGGUCUCCAGGACUGAUGUUUCCAGGUCUCUCCCCCAAUCCGACCAAUCCUUCCACCCCACCCUUUGCUGCAGUCAGGGGGAGGUUUGCUUGAUUAAAUUUUCUUGAUUCCCUGCUGUUAGGCAGUGCCUUGACCUCCGUUUCUCUGCAGGCUCUCUGGCUCCAGCCUUUGUUUUGUUCAUCAGUGUUUCUCUUUGGUGGACAGCCCUCAGUGAACGUUGCUGGUACCUUCUAAACACUUUGUAUAGAUCUCAGGCCAGGAAACUGAAGGAAUCGAUUGCUAUUCUUUUGUGUGUGUGCCAGUCAGGAGCUAAAAGCUCCCACAAGAUGCACACAACUCUAUUCUUCCCUGUCAGUUCUCACUUGGGAAGAUCCAUACAUUUCCAUCAAAUGAGAGUGAUUUGCUUAUUUUGGGUUAUUGGAAAUGUAGCAUCCAGUAGACAAAGCCCUAUUAAAAUCAGCUUGGCUUUCAGGUUAUUUUUUAGAAGAUGAGAGGAGUAGGAAAAGGAACAGUAGAGAGGAAAAUAGUAGGUGUAUUUGUAUGGAUGCAUACACUGUGUGUAGAUGACUGUGAAACUAAUGAACAGAUUCCUAUUUUUUCAUUUGGGAACCAGAUUUAAAAUGGAAAGAUUACUUAUUGUGAGAGCAGCAAUGUAUUUCUAGAUGCUUAAACUUACGUUCAAAUGUUUUCAGAGCGUGUGUGUAUAAAACCAUCAUAAAUGGCCUAACAAAGGCGAAUAAUUUGUAGCAAUGUUGUGGAAUAUACAGCAGCUUUAAAGUUAUGACUUUGACCACAUUCCCUUAUGAAACCUACCUCACUCACCCCAGCUGGGAAGAUGGCAAACAAGCCAUGUCUUGCAGAAAAACAGGUGCCACAUCUGUGGUUGAGUUUUUGUAGGUAAAUGAUACUGCUAAAUGUGAGUUUUCUGGAGGGUUUGUUGAACUGAAUUGACCUUUGUAGCACAGCUUUGUUCUCUUUAGCUAUCCGCAGGUUUUGAAACAAAUCAAUAAAUUGAGCAGUAACACUUCACAAAGAGCAGAUGGUCUUCACCCAGGACUUCUAAGGGAAUUAAAAUGUGAAAUUACCAGGCUGCUGCUGUGGCGUACCACUUAAAUCUGCCUUGGUGCAAAAGGAAUAGCAGGGAGUAACUAUUCCACCAGCCUUUUUAGUGUUUCAGUGUGUAGCUGAAUUCAAAGACAAGUAAGUCUGACUUAUUAAUACAUCAUAAGGAACAAGUAAGGUAGUCAGAGGAAUGGAUAAACUUAUGUUGGAAAGUUAUCACUGUAACUUAUAUGGAGAUAAACAGGGCCUUGAAGAUUGUAGUUUCUUGGAGAAGUUAAUGAAUAUGUUCAUGGGGGUAAAAGAAUUUACAUAUUGUGUGUAGAUUUUUCCAAAAAGCCUCUUAAAAAUUAUAAAAAGCUUUUAGAAAAUUGAACAAAUGUUGGAUUAAAGAGGAGGCCUUUUAUGCAUUUGUAACAUUUGAAACUGAAGGACGGGAUUGUAUGUUUUCAUAUGGAGGACAAUAACAAGGCCUCAACUAUGUAACAAGUGUGGUCUGGAAAGGCAAGUAAAUAGGUGACAAUUUGCUGCUGAUACGAAAUGACUCAGAAUAUUCUAAUUAAAACUGACUGUGGAAGCUUGCAGAAAUGAUUGGAUGACAGAGGAAAUUGAAUAUUGAUAAAUGAAUUACUGUCUGUGGGUGGGAAGGAACAUUAGUCAAAGUCAGGGAUGAGUUUUAAAUUUGCUGGUUGGGAAAUAAUCAUUGUCUAUAGUUCCUUGAAAAUGUAGCUGAAUGGCAAUCAAGCUGCCACGUAUGUGGUUCUUUAUGUAGAUGCUAGUUAUGCUACAUUGUUCGCUAUACAGUGGCACUGUUGAUGAAAUCUUAGAGGGAGGAUUCAAAUUCCCUGCCUAUACUAGGAACAGAUUUCUCUAUUAGAGGCCCUGUAUCAGCAAGUCGAAUCCUCAUUUUGCAAGCAACAUGUAAAUAUAUUUUUGUUGGUUGUUUUUUGCUGUUGAUACCAUGUUUGCGAGGUGCUUCCAGAACCUCACUGCUUUAAGGGCCAAGUUGGAACCUUCAUCUAACUUCCAGAUUAACUUGGAUUUUAUUAAUUAAUUUAUUUUUGACCUUCAGAAAUGUAUUUAUUUUUAAGUAGCAUUUUUAGUUUAGACGGUUCUCUCUCCGCCAGUGCUUUUCUUUCAAUUAAUUAUAUCUAAUGAGAGGCAGCAAUUAAACCCGAAAGUCAGUACUUUGCUAAACCGAUUGAAGACAACACUUUCUUUCAGGAGAUCCCCCUUGGUUCUCAUAGUAACAUCUGACAAAUUCACCUUUUUAGGAAUGCAGCUAGGUUUGGUAUAAAAGAUAUCCCAGGUACCUUCUUUAGUAAUGUAGUUUGAUGGUUUAGCAGAGGUUUAAUGCAGCAAUCUACGUGAUGAAGCAAAUGGCUUUUGAGAUUCUAUGAAGACUGACUGUAUCAAUCUAAUAAAAUUCCUUAUUUGUUGCAUAGGUGCGAAAUCUGGUAUUUGGCAGAGCUAGAAGAGAAACUUUUGGAUGCUUUUGAUCAAAGGUGCUCACAGAAAAUUAUGCCGCAAAGUAUCAAGUGAUAAGAAUAUAUGUAAUGACAGGGUUUGAGAAAGAAUGAAGCUUUCAUCAACAGACGCUGGGGUUUCGGAAGGCUUGUGGAACAACCACUGCACUCCAUUUUAGAAGGAAAAUUGUCUUUCCUGCUGUGGUGUUGGCUAGAAGCAUCUCCUGUGAAGUUACAUCUCAUUGCAUGCAAAAUAAAAGUGCCACCAGAAUACCUGCGAAUCACUGCUCCGUCUUGCUUUUUCAUCAAACUGUUCAACUGGUUUUGCUUGUGCAAUGCUUGGAUAAGAUUGGCUGGAACUUCACAAGGGCACUGGAUAGAGGGAGGUUUCCUGAGGUACUACAAACAUUUCUCCUUCUUCUCUUGGUAGGAUGGCUCCUUAUUCAUUUGAAUAACUUGCUUUAGCAGGUCCUUAUUCUACUCAGAACUCUUCUGAACUUACCUGUGGUCAAAAAUAUUCCUCAUUUGUGUGUAAAUUAUUGGACUUCUUUAAGGACCAAAUGUCCAAUGUAUAAUAUUAAAUUCUAUGCAGUAUGUUCCAUGUGUCUAGCAUGAUCGCACAUCAUAAAUACGCUUUUCAUGGUGUGAGUAUGAAUCUGCUUCCAUGUAUAAUGUAAAUUAUGGAUUUCAGAGGGCAUUUGGAGUGAGAUGUUUGGAACAGAUGUCUCUCAUGGUAGUUGGCUUGGUCUAAGACUUCUUGAGAGUGUCUCAAUCCACAUAUUCAGGUAUGACAACUGAAGUGAUAGGGGGAUGUUUAAGCAAACAGACUGUUGAUAAAAUUAAACUUUGAAGAAGAUAUUAUAGCAGAAAUCUAAAUUCUAUGCUCUUAGCUCAUGCACUGUUGUCCAGUCUGUGAUGUGGUUGGUGUGUGUAUGUACAGGUAACCUAUAAAGCAGAAGUUAAAAGCUACACUUGGACUUUCUUGGAAUGAAAUAGCUGGUUUGGAGUGCUCAGUUAAAUAUAGAAGGGGGGGACUUGUACGUGCAUACGUGCAUGUUCUUUAGAUCAGUGGUGUAUUUUUUAUAGUGUACUUUGAAUAUUGAGAUGGGACUUGAGACUCCAAUUUGUGAAAAGCAAAUGAAAUAAAGGAACGUGAGCUGAAUUAGGUAAGCCCGUUCCUGUCUUGAAUGACAAAAAGAACAGGAACUGUCUGAAAUGCUGCUCUGAUACAAAAGCUCACCGCAGUCAGAAAGUGACCUGAAAGCCCUGUCACCGAACAAAUCCAGCAAGAUGGUUUGCUUUGAGGGAAGAGGAAAGGAUGCUGAUGUCCAGAGGUGCUAAUAUUGUGGUUGCCACAAGUGUGAUCAGCCCAUCUGCUGCCCAAAGCCUACAAAACAAAGAGGAAAAAGAAGCCAGUCAAAAUAAGUGUAAAACUCAUUUUAAAGCGAAGAUGGAGUCCUGAGAAUGAUGCUGUGUAAGGUCUCAUUUCCCGUUGCACACCAUGCUAAAUUGCCAUAAACAGACCCAGAUGUGACCAGUUCAAAAGGUGCUACAAAAAAGCUGGGUGAGACAUCGGAGAACGUACUUUCCCCCUUUUAUCAUUGCUGCAGGAUACUACUUUAAAAUACUAAAUGACCUCUUUCUGCUGGCUGCGGAGAAGGAUGAGGAGAGGAGGAAACCUAAUAACUUCACAGUCUCCACCAGCAUGAGAUGCGUGGAACAAAAUUAAAGCAGUCAGAAAAGAUAAUGGAAGCUAAAGCACUUUUCACUUCUGUGAGAGUUGAGCCACAAAGUAGGGGCCUCCAGGCAGCCCUGCUAUUUGAUCCCAAAUCAGUCACAGCUCUUGAAAUACUGAAGUAAAUGAAAAAUCCACUGGCAGAGACAAUACCGUUCAGUGUGUGAUGGACACAGAGUGCCAUCAGUGAUUUGAAAUCUUGAAUGCAUCCACACCCACGCCUCUAUACAAGCAUCUACUCAGACACUUAACUAAAGCGAUGUGGUUCUUCAUGGAUUCUGUGAGGUAAUACAACUGCGCUGAGAUGUAUGGCCAGAUGGAUGACAUUUGGCUUUCAAAUGUGGGAGAAAUCCCAGGCAGCCCUGGCAGGGAGCUGUAGAAGGAGGAGCCGUUUCAUUCCUUGUGCUGGGACAGGCGCUUGCCAUGUCACAUCACUGACUCCAAAAGCCGCAGAGAUAAUGGGAACAAGGGGUCUAGAUGAGAACUUCAGGUGAACUGAGAGUUUGGAUUCCAAAAACCACAAGUUUGCCUGGUGGUUUAUUUUUGCUUUCUGUGGCCAAGAGAAUGUUUAAAAUACAUUAUAUUGUACAACAAACUUUGGGAUGCCUAAGGCAACGCUUAAGUUUUUAAUGUUUUAGUGGCAGUGUGUCUGUAAUAUGUAAAAGGACUCUUUCCUUUCUAAACUGAUAUCAGGAAUACCUCUGCUUCUGCCAUGCAACCUCCACUGAUACUGAUGUUCUUUGGUUUUCCCUCACUCUCGCUCCAGUCAGUUAUUAUUGCUUAAGGGCUGGAAAGAGAUGAUUACUUAAGUCAGGGAGCAAUUUAACAUGGGUGGAAUGUGAGGAGCUUUCUAAGGGAGGAGAUAAUGGAGUUGGUUUUAGCUCUUGCUGUACACAGCAAAAAAUUCUUGCCUGUCCUUCCCAGGUGGUGUCUGUCCCUGCCAAAAAAGUCUCUGUGCAUCUUGCUGAUUUAUUCCAGCUUUUCCUUUUCAGUUUGGGUAAGGAGUGAGGAGUAGCCACAUCGUUUCUUCCUUAUUGUUUCUUUCCAUUUAUCAUUUGCUUUAGAAAGAACCAUCUGUGAGUUUGUAUAAACAUUUAAGUGCAGGAAGUAAUAAAACAAUGUUUUAUGGAUGGUAACUCUUUUGUGACUGUUUAUAUUUAUUCAAACUGUUUAUAUUUAUUCAGAGACUCACAUGGAACUCUACAGAGACCUGCUGCUGCCAGCCUGGAAUGGUCGCAGUCCUAAGACCAGUAUCAAGCACUGCUUAGCGUCCUUCUGGUCUGCUCAGAUUAAUGAGGGUGGCUGCUCUGGGCAAACAAAUGUCAUCUGUACAAUUUAGCAAAUACAUAUGUCUAGGACAGGCACAACUGGAGGUCAAGUUAAUGGAUAAAACUCAAAAUACCCCCAUUUUUUCUUAAAGGAAUAGGUUAAAUGAAUAGGAGUGAAUAAAGGCAACUGUGUUAUAAUCGGAAGCAAAGACAUGAAUACAUCCAGAUGUUGAACAUGAGGGAGGAGAAACCUUAGUCAGUCUUUCCCUGAAGACUAAAAACCAAAGUAUUAACGUCAUCCUUAUAUCCAGGAUGCCUCUGUUAACUGGGGAUGCUGGAAAAAUCAAUGGACCAGUAGAUUUCUUGCCCUGUCUCAUAGCUCCAGACCAUGGUAAUUCAAUUUGAUCCCUAGUCAUGGUAAUCUCUGAGCCCAUGCAGGAUUUCUGUCAUGCUGAGGUUGGAUAUCUCUACUAUCGCUUCUGUUUCUGCGUAGUAGAAUCAGUUUGUCUGAUGGAUAUGCCGAAAUGGUAUUGUUUAACACAUUGCAUCUCUUUCUAUAAUCUCGCCCACUUAGGGAACUGUGUGCUUCAGUUCUUAAAAAGCAAGAUUAUUCUGGAUGUUACAUUUUUAUCGCUGAAAGCUUAGUACUACCUGCAGUACUGAAUUUCCUCUCCAUGAAAAUGAUACUAUUUCUUAAAAUAUGCUAAUUGUAAUUUUAUAUUGGGAAAUGUUAUGAAAGCUUUUUUUAAUUGAUUCAAGAUUUCCUAUCAAAUACUUUGAAGAAAGAGGCUUCUUCAUAGAAGCCUUUGGUGCCAGGCUGCUAUUUAACUCUUCAUUAACUGUAAUAUCGCAAAGAGUUAAGGGCCCUUGGGAAGAGAAUGGAAAAGAGAAAAAGGCUGUACUGCCACAUUUUUGUUGAAAAUUACAAUUAAAAGUGUCAGACUUUGUGUGUUCAAGAAUGUGAUAUUAAAUGAAUUAUAGCACUGAAAAUGGCUUCUGAUGUGGAGAACAGCAUCAGCCCCAAAAGAUGUGGCAUAGUGUCCAAGAGCAUUUCAAUUUGAGUUAUUAAAGGAAAGGAGGCAGAGAAAGAAGAAAUAUUCCUUCAUUCUGCAAAAACAGAAGCAAAGUCUUGAGUACAUUUGCAAGAGAAAACACAUUGUACGACAUCAGUGCAACAAUGCAGAAUCAAUAGGAGAUUCUGAAGAUGCUCUUGUUUUGUAAAUUCAGCAGCACUACAGGGAAAAAAGUGCUGAUCCUUUGAAAACUGUAAAAAUUACUGCCUCUGAAGAAGUGUUAACAAAAUAUAUUCAGCAAUUAUAAUAACCAGCUUUGCUCUAAACUUGCUAUUAGCGUGGUUUUCUGACAUGACUACCAUGAAAACAGGUGUAAAUUGGGUCCUGAGAGAUUGGCAUAUGGUAUUCAAACGCUUCCUUGUUGGAUUUUAAACAAUACAUAUUGCAUGCACACACUAUUAUGUUUAUGCGGCACUUAAAAGUUAUUUCUAAUCCAAUUCCUUCCCAGGUUCCCCAUUUUAAAUACAUUUUUUCUGUAGGUGUCACUGUAGCAUAGCGGAUAGAAAACACUUCCCUUAAUGAAAAUGUAGAAUACACAUAGACCAGAAGCGGCUGUAAUCUGGUUUACUGUGCCAUGGUUGUCAUGUCAACAAAGAGGUUUCCCAGCAACUAACGGAAUAAAGUAUUAUAUAGAUAUAUUUACUUAUCCUUUCUAAUAAUGAACCUGAUGCAAGACAGUUUUUUCGCCUUUAUAAUUAUGUGUCAAUUAAGAAGGAUUUCCCAAAUCUUUUACAUUUUGUCACAUCUUAAUACUGACAGUUAAAAUUAAUCUUGUUAAUAAAAUUGAAGCUGAUAGAAUUCAUGAAGAUUUUCCGCUUGCACCAAAAAUGUAGCUAUUUUAUGUUGCAAAACUUCUUGUAUUUCUAGUUAACUGAUUGAUGAGAGAAAUGUAAGUUAUUAGUAUAUGUGACUUUGAUGGUGUUGCUUUUCAUGGGUAUUGAAGACAUAAACUUUGUUUGCCUCUCUCUGCUUAGACUAUACAUCAUUUCUUAAAGAAGUGUUGAACAGAGCUUACUACUUUAAAGUGUGGUUGAAGGAGAUGCCUUGAGCCUGCCUUUUACAGCCAGUACUAAUGUAAACUUCAGCCUAAGCAUAGCUGUGGGGAGUUUCUGGGAAGCUGUUGGUUUAGUCUUAGCUUUCAAAAAGAAUUCUAUGUGUGAGUUAUUUCCUUAUCAACCCAAUGCUUGUGUAGCAUAAAAUGUGUAGACCAUUAAUGCGAGCAGACCUUGGGUCAUCAUCCCACCUUCUGGCAGAGGGUCAGAAUCACAAGGCUUUGCAGCAUCAUUGUGAAUUUUACUCUCUUUCCUUGCGGCACACUAAUUUGAUGUGAUUUCUCCAGAAGAUUUGCCUUCCACUUUGGUCUUCUUGGCAGUCAACUCUAUGGGAUGCUCACUUGGGUAUCAUCAUCAGCUGUGAACGAUGUGGUCUUGAAUCCUCUCUGGAAGAAGAUUGCAUUGACCUGGCCUUCACUUCCCUGGUAGGCUGUUCUAAUGAAGCUAUUAUCUAAUCAUGUGGAAGUGAUAUUCUGGUGAUCAUUUAAAGCACGUACAGUUGCUCUGGUCUAUUAGCUGUACUUGGAACAUGCUUAAUAGUUCAGGGUCUCAAGGGUGUUAAGAGGCCCUCUAGUUAAUUAGAGACAUGGGAUUUAUGCAUCUGGCUCCUUCAGAUACAAAUUUAAAAGCUUUCAGAAAAAAGGGAGAUUUUGUGGUUUCUUACCUAGGUAACAAGUAAAAAUGUUUUGUUUUGGUUUAGUUUUUUUAAUGGUAGUUUUGAUUUAAGCUCUAAAAACCUGGACAAAGCCUUUGGAGAUUGCUUUUGCAGGCAUAGCUAAUGGAUCAAAUUGCUAGAGAUGCCAGGGUAUCACACUGCCACGUCGUCUUAAAUAAGAGCUGGAAACCGAGUUCUGGCCUUUAGCCUCUCAAGCAGUAGGUGUGUUAAAGAAAGAUUUCUUGCGCACAAACUGUCUCGGAUUUCCACUCUGCAAAUUACUGUGUAAUUUAUACCACACGUCCUAAUAAACUCUCCCUCUGCUUCUUUGGAGAAUACAGCACUUGAAGUUAAUUAAAUAGAGAAACUCUGUGAAGCUCAGAAGCAACUAGAUCAGCUCUGAUUGUCUGACUGUUGGAGAUCAUCUCAAGUAGGCAUUUGGGCACUUACUAGCAAACUGGGAAACUGCAUGUUAAGAACCAGGGAUUGUAUAUGCUGUGCAAAAUCUAAGGAAAGAUCUUUGUCCAAGUCUGUGGAGGGAAAAAAACCCACCAAACUGUUCAGUGAACAAUCAAAAUAAAUUUUAUGUGAUUAAUAGAAAUAGUUUUACUAGCUCAGCUGGAGAUUUUAUUUGAUUAUCUCUUUACUUCUGGAAACUGUUCAGGAUUUUUUUCCAUUUUUGUUUCUUUGUUUGUCUUCUCUAUCUGAUUCUUUGGCAUUUGUGGAUCUUAGUUGCUAUGUAAUUUAUUAGUGAAAUUCUAAGACCCUUCUGAGUUUUGUAGCCUGUACUCAUUGUCCCUUCAUGUUGGGGUGGUUUCUCUUAAGAAUACACAUGAGUAUAAAUCCCCAGAAAGAACAGGACACAAAAAUCUCCAUAGUGGAAGAGAAGAUAUUGUAGUCUAAUUACUAAUAAUUAGCUUUAGGCACCUUCUGAUAAUUUCAAGGAACCAAGAUAAGUUUCUGAGUAACUCAGCUCAGCAUCUCCUUUAGGGAGUGGUAUGACUGCUUUCCUGCAUGGUAUAACCUUUACAAUAUAUAUUUGAUAUAUGUGAAUAUUUUUGAAGGAUUAAUAAGUAGCAUUAAUAUUUCCUGAAAUUACUCAACUGCUACUUUUGUGUUAAAGCUUCACUAUUUGCAAUCGUCUUUAUAAUAACUAGUAUAUGAAGGAAACGUAUUUUUGAGAGCCUGUUCUACUUAGCCAGUAGCAAUGGAGUCAUUUAUUGUUGGCUAAAACUCCUUUAUCUCUGUUUGUCCCAAGAAGAAUCUAAAUCACUGGCAGGAUAAAUUCAUUUAUCAGGAAUAUAAGAAUAGAGGCUGCUGUUUCACUAGCUGGGAUAAAAUUACCAGGCUAUUAGUUCUCCUGCUUCAGGAUAUAAAUAGAUCAUUAGAUACGUUCAGUGAUUUUUCUUCCUAUGGUAGCCAGAUCCUCUAUGUUUUUUGAUAACAUUAGAUAUUUUACUUGAAGCAAGUGAUAUUAGCCAGUGCUGCAGAGAAGUUAAAGCUACUGGGUGUUUCUUAAACUUUCACACUCCCAUAGCGACUUCAUCAAUCUCGGAUUCUUCCAUUCCUCAUUCUUUUUACUCUAUACUCCCACUAGGAAGAAAUAAAUUGAGAAGGUAGACAGAUGAAAACAGAAGAAAUUGUAUACAAUGCAUUGAAAUUGCAGGCAGCAUUCUGCACAGCACUUAAUUUAUUAUGCUUUUUUGGUAGGAAGGUCAAAUGUGGUAAUUUUGAAGUGAGGAUUUUGUUAUAGAGGAUAUGGAGUAUUAAUAUAAUAUAGCAAGAAAAGAAGCUAAAAAAAUAGGAGAGGAAAGAGAUGAAUAAUUUAUAAGAAAACACUUUCUUCAACUCAUUAAAAUGGCCUGAGAGUCAUAGAAACCCAAGAUUUUUCUUGUUCAGGAAGAAAGUAGAACACAUGCAAAUGAACUUUUAAAAAACUAAUCAAAUGAAGCUUUUCUCCCUCUUUAAGUCUUUAGAAAGAGAAAAGUCUUAGUAGGAUAGUUUGGAUCAAAGUUUUUACUACUGUGAUAUUUACACUGAUAUUUAAAUUUCCCUGAACAGAUCUCUAUGAGUAAUUGAAAAAAAAGUCACUUCAGUUUCCAGUGACAGAUGACGGAUCACAAAAUAAUAACUGAUUUUAUUGUGUUUUUCUUCCUUCUUCAAACAGAUUUGAAUACCUGAUCCAGGAAGAGUAGGGAACGACACAUGGUUUUGCUACAUUCUGCUCCUUUUUAGUAGAACUUUCUGUAGAUGGUAUGAAGACCAAGGAGGGAGUGUUGGGGAGGUGGUUCUGUGUGGUGGUUUCUGCAGGGCCCAUCGCUGCCUUCCCUGCCCGUGCUGCUCUGGUUUCUUCCAGUUUGGAUGACAGACGUUAAGAUUCUCUUUUGCAAGAGCCACAUUGUUAUAGAGCGUAAAGAAAUGAGGGGGGAGAUGCAGCAGCUUUGCAUAGACAGAUCUUAUUUCACAAAGUACUGCAAAUCUUGGAACUUAAAGCUUGUCUUCAAAGUUUUCUAUUCAAAUUUACAAUUUGGGGGAUUUUCAUGAGACAUUAUUUAUGAAAAGAGUUUAUUUUUUUGCCAAAUAAUUUUCAGAAAAACCUUCAUCUUUGUCUUCGUCAUAAGGAUAAAAAAAAAAUUGAAACAAAACUUUUUAAACCAUAUUUCUUUUUUUUGUUCAAAUUUUGGAAAAUGUCAGCGGUGAUUUGUUUGGUAUGAAAAACUUCUGGAUUCAAGGGGGAGAGUGUAAUUUACCAUCUUGCGAUUCCAAGUCAAUUACCUAAAGUUCGCAUCCCUGGUUUAGGACAGAGUGAAUAUAAUCAAAUUAACAUUUAAAGAAAUUAUGGAAUGCAGGGUUAUGUUUUGUUUUGUUUGUUUUCUUUCUGAAAUAAGUCAUCCCCACUAUUCCAGCAGCAGCCCAUUGGAAUGAAAACUCAUUGUGAUUUUCCUAUUCCCAAAAGAAUGAAUCAGUCUGCAAUAAAAAAUGCAGUGCAUCACACCACCAUCUAGUGUCAGCUGGGUGAACUCCUGAGUACUCUGUGUGUGGAUUAUAAGAAAAAGAACAGAGUGAUAUAGUAAAGAACAGUAAUAACCGCAUCAACUGAUCUACUGUCUUAGGUUUUACAAGCGAAGAAGGUGAGGUAAUGCGUUCUAUGAAGGACAAAGGGCUGAAGACCUCGCAUUUUGGUGAGAUUCUCAAUUAUUUGUUUACUUCUUGAAAUAUUCCAUGAAUGCACUUACGGUUGUAUGACCCAUUGAUUUUAGCUUCCCUUAGCACAUUUUUUCCCACUUGAAAUCUAAAAUGAAGCAGAUUAAUAAGGGCUGUCAUCCUGCAGUAAUUCCAAACUAUUAAUCCUUUGGACUUUUUAAACUGUUAUUUCAAAUUUUAAAGAUAGUGUGGGUAUCUUUUCCUGUCCCUGUUGCAUCCAAGUAAAUGUAGGGGGAAAUAAACCAAAAGAAAACCCUUUCUUUCUUCUUUUUCCAGCUCCUAUUUGAUCCAUCUUUGCUAUUGUAGUUUGGGUUUGCAUUCAGCUUCUAUCCAUCACCUGAGCUGGAUUAUUUAACUGCUGUUCCUGGUUUUGGACUACCCUUAGAAAGUGGGGUUUUUUUGUGUGCAUGUGUGGUUUCGUGUUGUGUUUUUUGUUGUGGUUUGGGUUUUUUUAAACUAUUUUCUUUUGAAUAUUGUAAAAAAUUGCCCUUGAGGAGUCAUUCUUGGUGUUCAGAUGGAUACUGAGGAUGCUCUGUUUUUGUCUGGCUGUUGGACAUGGAGCGGUCUGAUCCCUCAGAGCCACAGCACUUCUGGCUGUUCACGAAGUAAAAGAGACUUGCAGUUAAUUUGUGCAUAUACAGCAAAUCCAGCGCAUCUCCAAAGUGCUGGAUUUACUGCACGGGAUGGGGCAGCCGUGCUGUCGAGGGUUUAUGAUUGUGGGGAGACAAUAAAACCCUGGCAGAUGUAUUGUUAAGCUCCUCUCCUCCUCUGUUUCCCCCUUUUGCCCCUUCCUCUCCCCACUUCCCACUCAGCACAGGUGAUCAGGAGGAAAAGAAGGACAGAGAGAAGAGAGCUGGAAAAAUUAAAAAUGUUUUACUAAUGCUACUAAUAAGAAUAGAGAAAAUAAUACAAAAUAUACAAAACCAGUGUUCAGCAACUGCAGAUCUGGCACCCAAAGUCCUGGACUGGACUCUGCAGCCAACCGGAGCUGGAUUCAGUCUCUCACUAGGCCUCAGUUUGCAGGGACAGCUUGCAAGGUCCUCUCCUAAUGUCGGCCAUAAGCAAAAGGGAAAAAAGGAAGGAAAGGGGCGAGAUCCUUCUGAUCUCACACUUUCAUAUGAAGUAUUCACGUGAAUGGAAUGUUUUACUUAGUUGGUCAGUUUCUUUAUCGUUUCUCAUUGCCCCUCUCAUGAGAUGUCCAUCCAUGCUUAUCAAUAAGUUUGCAUUCCUUUGCUAUGUUUACCAAAACAUGUAUCUGGUUCUCCAGGAAAAAGCAGCUAAUAUGAAGGCUUUAGCUGACAGGCAAAUUCACUAAAAGAGAAACUUGUUUUUUAGCAAAACCAGGACACGUACUCUCCUCUCCAUAGAUUUGUGCCCAGGAAAUCUCGGACCAGAAAUAUAGCAACCAGCGCUAGAGCUGAAGCUGUUUCAUUUACACAGUGGCUCUUAGUAAAAGGAAGUACUUUAAAACAUAAAAUGGUUUAUAAGUGAUCGCCUUGACUAAAUAUACUCCUUUGACAUUUUUCCAGCUUUGCGGCUUUGUUUUUCACUAAAAUAUAACUGCUUGGAGACCUAAUCCCUUAACUCUACACAGUCAUUGAUUCUACUAGUUUAGGGAAAAACACACACAAGGAAGGGAUGUUAAUCUGAAAUAGAGACAACUUUUUGACCAGCAAGUUGAUGAAUGCUGCCGAUUAAAAGAACAAUUCCAACUAUGUUUAUUUAGAUCAUAAGAAAAUCCUGUUGAAGAGCGGGGCCGGUCACACAAGACUGACCUGGAACUAUUCUUUGUACAUUUAGCUGUACAUGGCCAGUUUGAUCCUAUUAUUUUCAAAGAUAAAGGGAUAUGUAUUAACACUCUCUGCUUAGAUGGUUCCUUCAAAACCAACAAAACAGCCGCAGGAGUUUAAUGUCUCGCAGCGCAUAAUGAAUUACCGGGGCCUAAAGUUCCAGUCUUGAGACUGGCAGUUGGCUCAGCUUUGCAUGAGAUGGGGAGAUUAAAACCGGUGUCCUAAAACCAGACCAUGGCUGGUUUUGGUGAAUGUGACCGUGGUUCCUUUUGAGUGCACGCUCAGUCAGACCAGCUCUCUCAACUGACUCCGUCAUUGAGUGUCAUUUCACACUUUUAAUGUGUUGCUAACAAGAUACAACAUCAUUUUGUGCUCUUUGUUUUCUUACCGUGCAUGUCUUUAAUUUGGAAUAGAAAGACUCCUUUAAGAUCAAAGAUUUCUUCAGCUUCUUUAUGAGCAGAUGAUAAUUAAUUGAAACCUAAAUCCAACUCCAUAGUUUUUCCAAAUAAGCUAAAAACAAAGAAACAGCAAAAAAAUCCCCAGGUACUCUGUUUAUCCAGCCUAUUUUUAUUUUUAACAGUGUUGCUGAUGUUCAUCUUUUCCCCAUGGAGAGUCUUUUGGAUAACACCUUAGUCCAUCAAACAUCUGAGUUGUUUGGGUUUUUUCAAUGAAGACAGUGGGCUAUAUUUUUAAAUGUGUCAUGCACUGUAUACUCUUGUGUUUGUGUGAGGAACUGAUUUCCAAAAUAAGCGUUUACAAAAUAUUUUUAAGGCUUACUCCAAACUUACUGUGAUAAAUGAAAGGCCCUAGCCAUCAGAUUGAUCAAUGUGGGAUGGUUUUAUAUGCAUUUACAUAGUUUUGAAGUAGAAGUUUCAAGUCUGUGCUGCUCUUUAUAACGACCAUAGAUCUUUUAUAUAAGAAGAGUCAGCCAGAUUUUCUUUUGACUGUUUCUUGAAGCAUAAUUUUAUUUUUCUUUCUUACCAAAGGAAAUAUUUAUCGUUGUUACCAAGUAUGUUCACAAGCAAGAACAGUUGUAUCAAAUUCAGAUGUCCUACUGGAGAAGCUGACUGGCUCCAGCAGGGCUCUGUGGUGCUGCAAACAUUUUCUUGAACAAAAUGGAAAUAGGGGAGGAUCACCUAGAUAGAAAAACUGAGAGUUUGGACAGCAGUGGUGUUUGACAAGAAUGAUGAUGGUAUGCUUCACUGUUUCAGUGAUGGAGGGCACCAGAAGAAAUCCUGGGUUGCAAAGAGUGCAGAACGGAAAAUUUUGGAGGUUUGGUGUUCCACUUGCAACUUUCUCCUUACUUCAUUGCUAAUGUGGUCUUACAGCUCUGCUGUUGGAACGAUAAAGGACUCAGCAUUCCGAUUCAAUGUGAAUCACACAAAGCCAUUUAUUACAGAAACCAGCCUCCUUAUAUACGCAACUAUGUUCUAAUCACGCGUCCACGCUCCAAGCGUGGAUUCGCUAAAUGAGUAUCAUGGGCUGUCCGUGUGCUGGAGUCUCACUUAUGGUACAUCCGAUGAUUCACGCCACGCCAGGACCCUGCUGAUUGAGGAACACCCCUCUUUCUCACAGCAGAUUCUGUUCUCAGCUUCUCGAAGUGGCCUUGAGAUUCCAGACUAGUUCAGCAACAAAUCUUUAUCUAUCAAAACUCCUCCACACUCUACAGCAAAACCUGUCCAGCUUUACCUGGCUUUUCUUCAUCCUCUGUUGCUAGCAAGAGAAACAAGAGGGAGGUUAAUCUCUCUGGCUGCAGCUGUGAGCUGACUCAGCUUUUGCAAUUCCUGAUGAUGUCCUGACAACAGUGGCAUAAAUGAUUCCAUUGCGAACUGUGUAUAGAUAUGUCUUGAGAGAUGCUGAACUUUGGGCAGACUCAGAACUAGAUAUCCCAGAACUAGAUAUCCCUGGGGUCCUACAGCGAUUCUCCAGUGUAAAGAGUUUCUAGAAACUGUGGCUGUUUUACUGUUUAGCUAUUUUAGCUUCUGCUCUGAUGUGGAAAUGCUUUUGGUGUCUUGAGUGUUGGCUAAUGUAUGUAUGUCAAACAUUCAAAUGGCUCAAGUCAGACCCCUUCAGGAAGGCAGACGUUGAUUGCUUUUUCCACAUGGUGUUUCAGGCUCUGCUGUGCCAAGACUAAGUCACGUACCUAGUGGGAUUAUUUUUGUCUGCUUCUCCUCACCUCCCUCAGAUGAAAGGACAGAUAUUGCUGUUAUUCAGACUGUAUGUACUUCUAUAGCACCUUGGCUAGCUUUCCUUUUUCUUGGCUACAGCUCAAGCCCUUGAACUUUUGACACUCUUUUACCUUGCUGGAUCUGUUUCAAGAUUAAACUGCAGAUUAUGUUGCCUUUUCAACAGGAAUAGGCUUUAAGUUUUAGUCAGAGAACAUGCUGGGAAGAUGAUUUACCUUCUGCCCUAAUUAUUUUCCCCUUCAAAAUGUUUGUCUUCUCAGUAAUGGCAGAAAUAACAACUGAACAGCCAUCAAGUAUAGAUAGCUGAAGCUGAGCAGUCAAAACAAAUAGUCUCAGGCUGAGCCUUAUUGGCCUCAACAAUUUAGCAAAUACAAAUAGUGGUUUAAAUGUGAAGAUUGUGAAUAUGGAGCUGUGCCCGUUUUGCAAACACAAAGGUAGGCUGCUGUCCACCGCUCUCUUAUCAGGCAGCAUUUUCUGGGUGAAAUUCUGUGCUUUUAUCUCAGUAGAGACACAGCCUGUGAAAGGAUUUAAAGCUGAGAUAGAGGGUUGGAGGUUUUUAUCCUCUGGCCCCUGAGUCACCAUGGACUCAGUGCUGGUCCCCUCAGCUCCCCGGGGCUGCCGGGGAGGAGGAGGUUCCUGCAGUAGGUUUUUGUAAGGUCUGACAAGGCUCCCUGCAUAGCUUGCCCUUGAGGACCUGCCUUCAGUAACAAGUGUCUUUGAUGACGUGGCUGCCUUGUUGGCCACACACAGAGGUCUCCUGCUCUUUACUUCAACUACAGUUUGCAAAAGGCUCUUUGGAAGCCUGCCUAUAGGUUUUGUUCCUUUCUCCUUGGUCAAAGAGAUGCUUGGAUUACAUUUAUCUAACAGUCCUUUCAUAUGGCAUAAGUUUGGAGUGGGGUGAAAAGAUGUUUUUUCCCCAAAGCGAUUUGCCGUACUAACGACAUCUCCAAGUUGUUACGGGUUUCGCAGGUCAGACCUUCGAUGGGCCCAGCUUAGACGAAGCAGUGGUUUAAACGCAGGUGUCUGAAAGGGACACUCAGGGCACUUUGGAGUUCCAUUUCUCACAUUUUCUUUUCAAGGUAUUUGGAGCCUGACUGAAAACCAAUUUUACAAUCAUCUCACCUUUCACUGAGCACCCCUAUUGCUCCAGGAAAUGGAACUGCUUAAGGAAAGCUUCAGAUUCAGAAUUCCAUUAUUAUCGUGGACUGGCAUCUCCACUGUGAUCAACCGUGUCUUCUCUUGAGUGUGCGUUGUUUGCUUCCUUUCUGUGCUUUAUCAGCAAUGAAGGCAGGUGUGUUCUGGUUCGAGGUGCAAUAUGUGUGACCACAUCAUGUAGUAACUUUUGCAUGAUGGAGAUGUAAAGCUCUCUCAUUUUUGUAGCUGAAUUAUUUUCAGGUAGAAGCUUCUUUUUCUUAGAAAUGUUAUGCCCAUGUGGUUAUUAUCAAUGCUUUAAAAUAAAUCAUAGUUCUUUAAAGAUAUUGUCAACCAGACCAUUCCCAUUUGCCAUGCAAGCCUGAGGAUAGAGUAAUUAAGCUUAUCUUGAAGCUGGUUUUCAUUUAAAGUCAUGAUUAAUUACAUAAUUCAUAACUAAGGGAGUUUGUUUGCAGAGUUCAACGGCUGUGUUAAGAUCUUUCUUAUCGUGCUAUGUAUUUGUUAUUUUUUUAAAUUGAGUAUGCAUUUUAAGACUUACAUAUCAAGUUCUGUCUUUGUUGCUGUUCUGGUCAAGCUGUUUAUUCUUGCAAAACAGCUGAUACCUGGUUGAGUUAUUAUAUGUGCUGUCAGCUCAACUACCUGUUCUGUUAACUAGUCAGGUCCUCAGUAUAUUUGACAGUGUUGAUGAAGGUGGGAAAAUGUGAUUCCACCCAUUCGCGUUGAUUCCUAUAGUAGGCACAGCUGAACUGUGCUGGCAGAUGUGUCCAGCUGUGGGUAUAACAUGAGAAAAACCUUGGUGGAAUACAGUUGAGACAAGGAAUCCAGUUUUUGCUGAGCCCUACGAGCAGUCAUGAGAAGAGCCCAGGACCUUGUACUGGAUGCGAACCCUGAACUGGCUGCCAGAGCCGCGCUUGGAAGGAUUUAUGUGCGAAGCUGCUUAUGCUGAACUGAAAAAUCUCCAAUGUUUGCCUGGGCUCUCUUAGAGCACAUCGUUAAAUCUCUCCUCAUUGAGAAAACAGCAGCUGAACGUGCACUAGAAAACGCUAACUGGGUGCUGCGUUAUCAUGGUUUGAGCUGUAGAGAGACAUUGAUAAGAUAUGCCAAACCAAGGCAAUUAUAUUAUUGGAGCCCACAGUUCAAUCAGGACAAUAGGCAUCUUUUUUAUUAGAAAAUUUGGCUGAAUCAAUGAAAUGGGCAGUUCAAUCAGUGGGUUAUGAAUCUGUCCCCAAGGUAUAUGGAAGAGCAACUACUGCUUUAAUGUAUGGAAUCUGAUCAUGAAAGUAUAGCAACAGUUAUUGAACUAGUCAAGUAUGUACUUGAAAAUGGAAUGACUUCUAUCUUAAACGGUAUCUCGUAACAUGAGGAUCAAUAAAACACUUAUGCUGUAUGAAUCCUAAAGAUUAUUGUGUAUCUCUGAGCUGUUUUCUAACUGGUUUAUGUUCUCAAGUUGGUGCAGACAGCUAUACAGAAAAAAACACCAAGGGUUAAUAUUUAAGUAAAUUUAUUUUCAUCUCACUAUGAUAAAUGAAAUCCUUUUCAGGAUAUUAUGUACUUGAAUUCAUUUAAAGGGCAAGAAGGUCUUAUCCACUGGUUUGAAGACUGUAAGGUUGGAAAUGAGGAUCAGAUUUGAUUUAAUUUAUAUUUAAUUUGUAUUGUAUAUUUGUUUUGUAACUAGAUUUAAUUGGUGAUGCUUAUUGAUAUUGUACAUUGCAUUAACUUUGGAUUUAAUUUUGUCAAGAAGCAAGAAAGAAGAGUAUUACACCUUUUUUAGCUUGAUACCUAUGUUAGCAGCUUGGAGGCAGAAUUCUCUGAUGGGUCCUGCAACUGCCAGUCUGAAGACGUCGCUCUUCUCUAUUCUAGUGGUUAUGGAAAUCUCUUGGAGCCAAAAACUGCAGCUUUUAAAUAUGCAUCUAAAGAUGCCCAUUGCUAAUUUUGUCCCAUGUAGGAUGGACUGAGAAAAUCAACAAGCGUUUGAGCUGUACGAUCUCUCAUUAAUAUGUUCUGGCUUCUUUACUGGGAGAAUGUAUCAAAGAGCGGUCAGUUUGAUGAUUAUAACUAUCCAGCUGCCUUUGAAGCCUGUGAAUUGUUGUGUGGUAUGAGAAUGUGAACAAAGUGUUUGGGAAGUGCCCAUAUAAUGAUUUUGAUCCUUGCCUGGAUGCUCCAUUUCUUCCAAGACCAGGUAAUCAUCCUGCAGCUGCUGAUUUACAAUGUGUGAGGUAGGGAAAUUAUGUGAGUUAGAACAGAUGCAGGUUAAUCUUAGCCCACUUUUGUCAUUUUUAUGAACUGACAACCUUCAGAAUGGCACCAUCCUCUCUUCUAGAUGUAUGUGUUCUCUUUGCCCUUCUUGGCAUAUAAGUAUUAGAAUAGAAUUCGACUUCUUGUAGGAAUUCCAUUAUUUAGGAAUUCCUUGUAGGAUUCUUGUAGGAAUUCCAAUAUUAGGCACUAUUUAAGAUUUGAUUUUUAUUUUAUUUACACUUUUUUUGCAGCCCUGGGGUCUAGACUUCUGCUUUGCAUGAGGUUCUUCCAGUCCAUUCUCUUUAACCAGAAUUGAUAUUGAGUAUAUAUGAAUUACUCAGUCCGUUGGCUACCUGCAGGUUGUUGCAGGGUGGGGGGACUUGGCUUGGAUGGGGCUGUUUAGGGUUAAGUUGUAGAUCUGUCUUAGCUAUACGAAAGCUGGAUCUUGCUUUGUUCCUAAUUGCAUUUCCCAUGCCGUUGGAGGUGGACAUGAUGCUACAGAAGAAGGAGGUUGCUUAGGUGUUUCCAUUCCCUUCUCUCUUGUUUCCUUCAGGUCACACAGUUCCUAGCCUACAAAAAUCAGCCCAUAAUUGGUGUUUGCCAGUCGGAAAAAGUGAGCGAGGUGUAUACAGUCAAAGCUUAACAUUUGCCACUGCUCCCCACAGAGCUUCUCCCACAAAAUGAGUCUAAUAACCUAGAAAUACAGCGUCUGAAAAUACCUUCAUCAAAAGUUGAAUGUGUGAGGGAAAAGAGACUGAGCAAAUUCGCAGUAGUAGCCAACAGGUUUUUGCAAAACGCGUGAGUUUGGAUUAAGAGGUGUGUUUUCAAAGCGCUAAUUUCCAGCCUUUGCUUUUUUGAGACCAAGGGUUGUUCCACUUGCAACCAUAGAGCAAUGAUCCAACUCUUACAUUCUCAACACUGACUUAUUAGGUCAUCUUUGAGAAGAGAUGGCACACUGCUUUAAACACAGAUGGUAACAGGUGUGGGCUGGUGCUGGUUUGCAUUCAAAUAUUUCUAAUUUUAGAGUAGGCUGAACUAGAAAAAAUGCCCACAAGGAGUUUAGAAACAUUUCCUUAAUACAGACAAAAUUUCAAUCUCCAUCUGAUAGAAAUAAUAGCACUAGAAGAAAUAUGAAUUACCAUCAUUCAUCUCAGUGGGAUGCUGAUUUUUUGAAGGCAAAGCGCUGAGUUUUAAUGUUUUUCUAUUUUUUCUCUGUUUAACAUGAGGAUUUUCAGACACGGUUUUGAAAAAGGAAGUGUCUGUGAACUUUUGAAUCAAAAACUAGUUAAAACUGGAAUAAAAAUAAGCUUGGUUGAGAUAAUUUUUCAGGGCUUGUGGUCAGUAUUUAGUUUAAAAGACUUGCAGCUUUUGCUUUCCUACCACUAAUAGCCCAACAGGGGCAAGAGAGCACAGAGCAAGUUCUGCAGAGCACUAUCUUUAAUAUACCAUGGAAAACAAAUAUUAACGAGACAUGGGUUGAUUCAACUAACAUUUUGACUUAUUGAGGUGUGGUGUGUGGUUUUUUAUCUAUUUAUUUAUUUAUUUUCCCCCAAUUGUUCAGAUUUUGUCCUUGGGAACUGUCUUCAGCUUUGGUUUAUUUCAUUUUUAGACAAGGUGGUUUUAGCUAUAGGGUGCAUGAUUUGCAUAGUUAGUACUGUUGGAUUAAGACAACUCUCUAAUCCAGAGUUCUAAAAUGAUUUCUAGUUUUUGAGAAACUUCAGUCACCUGAGCUCAACAAGUCCUAGUUAAAAUGUAUCCUGACAUGUCCUGUCUCUGUAAUGACAGCAUCUGUUUACGUGGAGCCAAAAUGCAAUAUAUUUGGAGGACUAUUUAAAUGGGUGGCAAAACUGUGUUUGACUUCCUCCUUUAACCAAAAUUCUUUGUUCUCUGUUGUUUGUGAUGCAGAAAAGUUAAAUGGGAAUCAUAAAUUGCUUCAUUUGGUGAAAGAAUAGAAUAAUGCAGUUUAGGUGUUCUUCUUUUCAGUUCUUGUCUCAAAUAAGAGCUUCUCUUGAGUGAUGGAAAAGGGAAAUGGUGCCAUGUGCUGGAGGGUGAGAGAUGUUAUGGGUCCGGGCUUCUGCAGGAGCAUUAGAUCUGAAAGCAGAUGACUUUGUGCUGCCCAACAGAAGGCUGCACUCCAUUGGGAUUCGAGGGAUUUGGGGAAUUUUUGGGCCAAACUUGGGCUUUCUUCAGUGGGCAAAGUAGAUUAAUCUCAGUUGCCAGAUCCCAAAGAAUCUUGGAGACCUCACUUUGUAUACCUGCUUGGAUGUUCCAUCCAAGGGACCAUCUGCACCCAGAAGAGAAUUCAGAGCUCAGUGCUGACUGUGUUGAGGAUUAUAUCUGGCCUUCUGUAAUAUUUAGAGGACAGAAAGAAAUUGGGGACUUUCUGUGUCCCAUCUAGUAAGCACUUAGGCUGUAGAUCUAGGCAUAAUGUUGAGCUGGUGUUUUCAAUGAUGUCAGCAAACAUACUUUUGUUUUUUUGCCAACCUUUCCACCAACUUGUGCUAUUUUUCUUGAUAAGAAGUUUACGUAAUUUCGUAAUAUGGAGAAUAGAAGCCAAUAUGUGAAAUUUUCCUUCUCGUAAUGCUACUGAAACUUUGUGCCGAUGCAUAUUACUGGACCUCUUGCAAUUAUUUUACUUCUGUUGUUUUCUGUGAGCUCGAGCCCAACCUGUUGCUGUUCCUGCUCCAGCAUGGGGUUUGGACUAGAUGAUCUUUCGAGGUCCCUUCCAAUCCCUAACACUCUGUGAUUCACGUAGCAUUGAUGACUCCAAAAGCUGAGUUAUAUCAGUUUAUACCACUCGAAUCCCCAGCCCUGGGAUCAAGCCCAUUUAUGCAGUGGAAAAACACUGACAUGAUCCCUGUACUAGUAGGUUUGACCUGCAAAGAGACUCCCAGGAAAAUUGUUGCCUGGGGGAUGAAAAUCCACAUCCACAACCUUUCUGUGCCAAUCGUGUUCCUCAGAAGGGACAAUGUGUGUUGGUUCAGGACCCGCCCCGGAGCAGAGGCCGAUCUGCACCCCAGGGCUGAGCAUCCCCGAAUGGGAAGGAAAACAGUGGCAUCGCACGACCUGCUGCUUGGAAAAACAAACCCGAGCAGGGAUUUUAUUUGUCUAGGCGAAGCCUCCUGCUGCAAAUUUAUAGGCUUUUUAACUUGCUGUGCUACCUGUCAGUCUGGGAACAGAUGCACAGCCUUCAGGCUCUCGGAGCUUGCCAGUAACUGGCAUCCUGCUGGGAACCGCAGGAGGACUUGGAAUAUGGAGCAGGGUGACCUAAUAAUAGCACAAGAAUACUCUGAAACCAGUGCUUGCACAAAGAAGUAGAAAUGGGUAACCUGUAGUUCUGCUUUUUUCAGCCAGCAGAAGGAUGUGUGGGGUGAAACCGUGGACCGUGGACUUGAGUGCUUGCUUGGCAGCUGGAUGCUCAAUACCUUGGCUAGUAUAGCCAGAUGUUUGAAUUUCCCCAAAGCUGAAUGAAGCCAUAGAUGUGUAAAAAUAGAAUUUUCUAUGCGGGCUUGCUUCUCAGGCUGUUCAAAAUUUACUGGCUAUAAUUUACCAUUUGAGUAAAAACAGAGGGAUGGAAAAGUAUAGCCGGGUGAAACACGCAUUUUUAUUUUUCUGGGUAUUAUAACUGUAAGUUUCAUAGUUCUGUAUCUUCAAGAUUCCUCAGGGUUCAGUUCAAUUGCCCAGUUGUAACCCACGGUAUUUGAAUGAGGGACGCUGCAUGGGCCUGGGUUGUUACGUUUAUACAUUCCUAAAAUUACAUUUGGCCCAUAAGGCAACUGUGAGGCUGAUAUGGUCCCAGUGAAAGUGAGUUUGACAACCCUGCUCUAGACCUUCAUUUUUGCCAAAAAUUACUUAUUCUUAUAGAAAAAGAAGUAAUGUUGAGGUAAGAGUUGUCAAGAUCUGAGGAAACAGAAAUAAUUAUUAAUAUCAUCAUAAGAACACAUUAAUUUUGGCAUUUCAAGGUAUAACGGGAAUUCUUCAUCAGAACUACCAUCUGCCAAGGCAGAAUUUCCCUCAAGUGAUCAGGGUAAAUUGCCAAAUGGUAACUUGUUCUUUAUAUUCAUUUCUGUUUCUAGAAAGAAACCCACAAAUUAUUAAUUUGUAAAGAUUACUUGUAAAUCUCUCAAAGCCAUUCCUACUCCUUCCUAGCUCUUAUUUUCCUAUGUAUUAGGAAAGGACUAGAGCGACUUUAUUCUCCAGAACAUGGGGAGAAGCCUUGUCUCCUGUGGGGCAGAGUGAAAGUGGGAAUGAAAAUACAGUUUUGGGCAGAGCAGCAUGGAGUUAAAGUCCAAAAAUCCCCCCCGGUGCUGAAUUAUUUCCAGGAGGGCCACCCUUUAGUGGAGACAAACUGCUCAGGAAAACAUCACUAAGUGCUCAAAGUUAGUCUUGGGCUGCAGCUUUCUCCUUCUGGGAAUUUUGGUCAGGAAUUAAUGAAAGUUUAUGGGGAAAAUAACCUACAAGGCCCAUAAUGUUGAGUGAGAAACUACGUGCUGACACUGUUCUUAAUUUUCAACGCAUUUGUGUUUCCGUCUUCCCCGGUGGGACCCACGUCUUCCUACAACCUCAAAUAGCAGUUUUGUUCUUUUUUUUUAUAGAGAAGGCUGAUGUGGGGUUUUAUUUUUAAUUUUACUAUUGGUACGUCCUGCAGCUUCCUCUCAGAUUACACAGUUGGAUUUGGUUAAAAACAUCCCCCCAGAUACUUUUGUUUGUGGAAAAACGUUGUCUCUCCAGGAUUUUCAAGGCCAAUUAAUUUUUUAAUUGACAGAGGUAUACUUGAAAAUAUAAAACAUUCAUUUGUGGAAACUGGUCUGUUUCUAGUUAUUGUUGGUUUGGUUUGGCAAGUCACAUCUUUCUUAAAGUAGAAAACAAAAUUCUCAUGCAGAAGGAUAAAUUGUUUAACUUCCAUGGGCAUCCUUGGGCAUCUCUAAUUCUUUUUACUUUAGAUUUGGUUGUAAUUUGUUGUGUUUAGAUAUCUACUGUUUUGAUUAAAAAAAUAUAAUUAAUUUGAAAUACACUUUCAUUGUGGUUUUCAGUGCUUGAUUCAAAAUAACUUAUAAUGUCCACCAAUUUCUUAAGCAUUUUUCCUAAAUAGCUAUUAGUUUGACUCCUGCAAAACAAUCAAGCACAAUGUCAAUAACAGGAAUGUGCAAGCACGUGCUCAUUGUGUGAAGCUGAAAUAAUAUUAAAGCAUUUAAUGAUGUUUUAGUUCACUUGUAAAUUGAAAGAAUAAUGAAAAUGUGCUGCAAUUUGCGAAUGUUCACAUAUUUUUUUCUAGAAUCUGCUUCAUGUAUAUUGUCACUAAUGUACAAAAAAAUGGUUUAGCUUAUGGUACCAAAAUUAAUGUCAAAACUAAUUGACCUUCACAGGCAGUUAAUUUUAUGCUUCUUUGAACAUGAUCUGUAGGAUCACCCCAUGGAUAUUGCAUUUGUGUUACUUUUCCCAAAAAAACCUCUGAUAGUGACUUCACAGAAUAGAGAAGACAGUAAUAAUGCUCUUAAAAUUUCCAACUUUUUCCUUGUUUGCAGGGUAGUCAUUGAGCUGCAUGAAACAGCUCCUGUUGCAAAGAAAAACUUGGAAGUCUUCCACGUGAAAUGGGUUUUGCAAAAAGCAAAGUUUUAUUUAAUAUGAAGAGUGCGUUAGUUCUUUUCAGAGGGAUUUCGAUGUGUUGAAUAUCUGAUGUAUUUUCCCCACUUCAGUUUCUUUGCUUUACAUAUUUACACAAAGGGAAGAGGAAAAGUAGUUUGCACUUAAGUUAAAGCAAGAUCCUGAAAGAAAUACAUGGUCAUUAAGACAAAAAAUAAACCCCUAAAAUUUGGAAAGAUUUCACAUUCUGUUAAUAAUGAUUUAAUGUAUAGAUUCCUCUGAAACCUUCUCAGUGGUGCUGUGCUGCUGCUGUAAAUGUACAUCACUAAAAUCUUGUCAACUUGUUUUGAGCGUGAUACCUCGGUGCUGCUGUGACCAGGCACAAAGGUGUGACAUGUUUUGUCUGGACCAGGUGACAAAGUGCUCUGAGUGAUGUGCCCGACCCUGAUCGACACAAGGAUUUAAAGCUGGGAGGAGUGGCUGACACGCCAAAGGUUGUGCUGCCAUCCAGAGACCUGGACAGGCUGGGGAGUUGGGCGGGGAAAAAUUUAAUGAAAUAUAACAAGGGCAAGUGUAGAGUCUUGCAUCUGGGUAGGAACAACCCCAGGUUUCAGUAUAAGUUGGGGAAUGACCUAUUAGAGAGCAGCGUAGGGGAAAGGGACCUGGGGGUCCUGGGGACAGCAGGGUGACCAUGAGCCAGCACUGGGCCCUUGUGGCCAGGAAGGCCAAUGGUACCUGGGGUGGAUUAGAAGGGGGUGGUCAGUAGGUCAGGGAGGUUCUCCUGCCCCUCUACUCUGCCCUGGUGAGACCACAUCUGGAAUAUUGUGUCCAGUUGUGGCCCCUCAGUUCCAGCAGGACAGGGAACUGCUGGAAAGAGUCCAACGCAGGGCAACAAAGAUGCUGAAGGGAGUGGAGCAUCUCCCGUGUGAGGAAAGGCUGAGGGAGCUGGGGCUCUGGAGCUGGACAAGAGGAGACUGAGGGGUGACCUCAUUAAUGUUUACAGAUAGAUAAAGGUUGAGUAUCAGGAGGAUGGAGCCAGGCUCUUCUUGGAGACAACCAGUGAUAGCACAAAGGGCAAUGGGUUCAAAGUGGAACACAAGAGGUUCCACUUAAAUUUGAGAAGAAACUCCUUCUCAGUGAGGAUGGCAGAGCCUGGCCCAGGCUGCCCAGGGGGGUUGUGGAGUCUCCUGCUCUGGAGACAUUCAAACCCGCCUGGACACCUUCCUGUGUAACCUCAUCUGGGUGUUCCUGCUCCAUGGGGGGAUUGCACUGGAUGAGCUUUCGAGGUCCCUUCCAACCCCUGACAUUCUGUGAUUUUGUGAUUUGUGCUUUGCUCAAGUUAGCAAUUGGAAAAACAAGUACAGUGAGGAUGCAGUAGUAAAAAAUAAAGAAAAAAAAUAAAAAAAAUCUACAACUCUGUUGCAUUUAAUGAAAGAUGCUUAAAUUAUGGCAGAGUCAUUCCUUUAUUACAUUUGCGAUGUCAUAUUUAUCACAUCAUCUUUAUGGUUUUGUAAUUACGGAUUCACUGCAGUUUCCCCUGUACAUCCAGUUAUUCAGGAGUUCAUAAUUCUGCCCACUUAAUUUAUAAUGUGAUGAAACUUCGCUAAUAAAUUAUUGCUCUGUAUGCAAAUUCUUGUGGGUUUUUUACUGACUUCAAUUGAUUAAAUGUUUUUAAGCUGUGGUGAUGAAAAAAACCUACAAAGGGCCAGAUCUAAAAAGUAUGUAGGUGACAAAAGUCCCCAACCCUGACAAAAGGGUGUUAACUACAAGCAACAGAACUCAAACUCACAACCCGAGCCCCCAGCUGGGAUACUGCUUGUCUCCAGAAAUGCCUUUUUUUGCAUAAUAGUUAUAUUUUAUCCAGAAAGUUAUAGGACUGUGUGUCUACAUGCAGUGACACGGGUUCUCUGAAGGCCUGGAUCUGAGAGUGCUGCUUGGGAUAGGACGGAUGUGCCCAAACAAGCCUAUGGAGGAAAACUUUGUGAGUAUUUUAUAAUAAAAAGGUGCCUGUUCCAGUAAAAGGAAGAUCUGAUUUAAAUCUCCCUUUCUAGUCUGAGGGAUAUGAACUUCUGUCAUGCUGGUUUAGAAGAGUAUCAAAUUAUGAGGCUCUACACAAUGCGGGUACAGAGAUAGAGAAGAUUCCUACGUGCAUGUGGGAGUUGAUUCAAUCAGGAGGAGAUGGGCAAGAGGAAGGAGCCUGAUUUGAUAAUUGGCAGUUAUGGAAACAGCACAAAACUGGCUGGGGAAGUCACAGACUGGUUGGGGUUGAAGGGACCUCUGGAGAUCAUCCAGUCCAACCCACCUGCUAAAGCAGGUUCAUCUGAGCAGAUCACACAGGAUCAUGUCCAGAUGGGUUUGAAUGUCUCCAGAGAAGGAGACUCCACAACCUCUCUGGGCAGCCUGGGCCAGGCUCCAGCACCUCAAAGGAAAGAAGUUUCUCCUCAGAUUUAGAUGGAACCUCCUGUCUUUCAGUCUGUGCCUGUUGCCCCUCAUCCUGCCGUUGGGCACCACUGAAAGGAGUCUGGUCCUCUAGACACUUGACUCUUGACACCCACACAAGUCAAGGCUUUCACAGUUACCUGCUGUAUACCACUGUAUUUUUUUAAGGACUGGAUUUGUAUAGUUAAUCUGGAAUUAUUUUCAUGUGACCAAUGUCAUUGCCAAAGAGCUACCUGUGCAACCAGGAGCCUUGAUAAACUUUUUUAAAGCUCUUGUCACACAAAAAGUUCAGAGCACAAAGAAGAACAUUGCAUGUCUGCCUGCCAAACGGAUCCUUGGCAAGCUGUCCCUUGAACAAUUCUGAUUUGUUUCCAUUUAAUUAAUGAACACUCUCCUGCUUUGUGAUUAUUGUCCUUGCCUGAAGUUGUUCCCGUUAUAGAGAUGAAUAAAUAGUUCUCGACAUUAGUUUCUACCUGCUUCGUAAUUUGUUACACCAUCAGGGACCCGUAACUUGUCCUUGCUUUAGUCUCAGCUAAUUCUGUCUCAUCUUGUUUCUUUUUGUUUGGCAUUUAUAUUAUUUCUGUUUUGUCCUUCACAGUUAAAUAAAAUAACACUGGCGUUCUUUUAUUGCUAUUACAUAUAUAUUUCGUCUUUUUCCUUUGUCAUGGAACGUAUUUCCUCGGUUGAAGUAGGAGAUCUCUCUUCAUUCUAGUAGCUUCUUCAGGAGCUGCUUGUGCCACAUAAACUUGUGAAAGAAAGAGCAUAAAUUAUCACAGACAUUUUCCUGAGUGCAGAAAAUCAAUCUCCCACUCAUUCUCCCAUUUUGCUGUGAAUUUUGUAUCUGUUUGCACCUCUGUCGCUUUCCUUUGAAUGUUUUAAGUGAAGUUAGAUUGUGAGGCCUUUGGCAAGCGGAGGUCUGGGGUAUGGUGUGAGCAGACUUUGUGUGUUUGGAUUGUAUCAAAAAUAGCUUGUCAUUUCCUUGACUUUUAAGCACAAGGAAUAACAGAGAGUAGUGACUUGUGCUUUGGCCGGAGCGUGUUCCUGGGGAUUGUUCAGGGAGUGGUUGCCAACAGCAGCAAGCAGAACUGGGCAGUAUUUUCCAUUUGUAAAUUAUCAAGAAAUGACUGUUACAUUCAAUACAUAAAUUAUUCACAAAGAAAACAGCAGGUUCUGAUCACCUCCAAAUUAAUGCUUUCCUGGCAUUUGGUGUCCAGGCUAACACAACGUAAUUGCUUCGACAUGUGCCAUACUGUCCUAUGAAUGUCACAAGUGCAAGACUGUCCUAUAAUAGCUGUUAUCCAUGAGAUAAUAUAAACUAACACCUUUUUGGUAAAUGGUGCUUUAUCCCGUGUGUCACCAUAACUCUCUGCAUGCAUUAUUAGAAGGGUGAUACAUCUGAGGUUUGUCUCCCCAGUUGCUCUGAAUGGUCCUAAGCAAAUUGUCAGCGUGGUGUUCACAGCUUCUCUUGGUGUGUUGCCAUAAAUGAUGGAUGAGUCUGAUAUUCUUCAGUUUUGGGUGUGAUGCUACUUCAGUACUUCUGGACUUGUUUACAUGUCCCUUUGAAAACGGUGAAGAUAUUACUGAACGGGUGAAUUGGUUCAAAUACAAAGAACAACCCCAAAAUAUUCCCAGCAGGAGCUUUCUUUCACUCUUGAUUUGAACGUUGGAAUAUGGAUACAUUCACAUGUUUGGUUUUGUUUAUUCUGUCCACAUAAUUAAUUCCUUUUUGCCUGAAUAUAUUAUUUUACACUGGUAGCGACAGCGAAAGUAGAACUUGUUUGAACGAGUGUGGUCCUUGGUAAUGUGACCAGUUCAAUGCCAAGGACGGGCAGGGAACAGACUCCUGGAUGUUUAAAGCCCAGCGAGACAAGAAGAGGUCACAUUAAAUAAAUUUGUUAACAGUGUACGCUUUUUCUGCAGGGCUGGCUGCUGUGUUUUCAUAAUACUGAAAUGCUGUGAAAAACAGGAAGGCAUGGUUGUGAGUUAUCUGAAAUUAGAAGGGCUUUUGUCUGAACAUCUUCAAACCUUCUUAGUGAGCUGAGAUUUGAUUCAAGAUCUGCAGAUGACCUCUUAUAAUUUUGAUUCGACAUCUUCAGAUGAUCUCUUGUUUUAAUGGACUUGAAGCACAAACUGGGUCUGGAAAAUGAGGCACCGAGGUCUGAAUUUUCCAUUUUGAGCCUGUCUCCUUUUGAAAACUUGUUGGUACUAGCAUGUACUAACAGAUUGCAGUGCUACGGUGGCGGUUUGAAGUAUAUUUUAUCUUUUUGAAUAAAAAUGUGUUCAGAAGAGAGAGACAGACUAUUUCUCGCUUCUCUGGAUGCAGCAGUUUUGUCAGUGCAAGCGAUUCCUGUUCACUCAAAUAUUAAGAAAACAUUAUUUUACAGGGAAAUAGUGAUUAAACAAAAAUUCCUGUUGUUUCGACAGAGACAAAAAAAUAAUAUACUUUUUAAAAAGGCUUGGUCAUGAGAGCAUAAUAGAAUAAGAUGAUUAAUUCAGCAAUUUCUUUGAAGAAAUUGUUUCUGUUGAGGCCUCCAUGAGAGAUUGGCCCAAUCUCCUCCCAAGUGUUUUCUGGUAGGUGAGCAGUGUUGGCCCUUCCACCAGGUUAUGGCUUUUGAAGCAAUUGCCCAACAUCAUUACCAUGCUGUGUUUAAUGCUAUGGAGUGGUCUUGGAGUGUGUGAACUGGUAUCAAAAAUUAAAUGUGAAGAUCUAGCAAUUCACUUCAUUGCUCUGUCACCAUGAACAAUCCUGCAUUUCUCCAUUGCUUUAUGGAAUCUAUUUUGCAGAUUCAAAAAGAGAGACAAGUGUAUUCUGGACACAUGUUGCUCUUCUUCUAUGAUUUAUUUUUUGUGCACUGGAAAAGACUGACUGAAAUCAGCAAUAAUAUUGGUUACAAAGAGUUACAAUCAAGUUGUGCCAUUGCAUGAAUUCAGUCAGGCUGCUGCAUUACAUGGUGAAUUUGACCUGUAAUUCAGUGGAAGGAAAAGUCACCUGCAUGGGAUAGUUCACCUAUAUAAUUUUUUUGGUGGAAACUGCAUCUUGACUGGAACUUAAAUUUAGAGAACACAGUCUUCUGUGUGUAUCUGCAAGGCUUCCCUCAGUGGAUAUUCCUUAGAAAUGGUGGUGGAAAUUACUUAAAAAGAAGGCAGUUAAAUCCUCUGCCAUGACUGACUGAUUUUACUGACGCCUGGAACCAACCAGACCUUUACGGUCUCUCUUAUCAGUGAAUAAUUCAUAUCCUAUGAGUGAAUAACCCAACACAACCAAACCAAGAUGUGCAGAUAUCUGUCUGAAGACUUUAACGGCUCAUCUUUUGGGUAAGACUAUUAUAAAGUCAUCUGGAGGAAGAAGCUCAUACGUAAAAAUGAAUGUUGCCAUGCAACAAGUGCUAAAGAAGAAACCACAAGAUUUAAGCCUUAAUUAAUUUUCCAUAGCAGCAGGGAAUGUUGAGGAAUAGGGAAAUUCAGGAGCACCACUGUUAAUUAAGCCUCAUUUGCUACAAAUCUGUGUCUUGUAGUUGAUGACUUUGAUAUCUGAGGGGGUAUAAAGUCCAACCGACACUUUUUCAUGAUCGUAACAUGUAAGGGCAUGCUUUCCCAUUAAAAUUCCUUAAUAUUUGAUAAAUAAAAUGUGUAUGUAGGCUACAACCUCUCUAUAUUUGAUGCCUGCACUCUAUUGCAUAGGUACUUAUUUACUCUGUGUUUAUAGCUCUCCCUAAUCUCUGUUCAAAUUGUGCCCAUAUCUUGUAAUAAGACCCCCAAAAGCAGAUGACCAGAGGUCAUGUGUAGGGUUUGGGCUCUGUGUGGAUUAAACAGACCAGUAUAAAUGCUGGUAUAUCUAAGACAGCAUAGCUGAAUGGAGAUUUGUAAAUGCCGAUGCCAUACAGGCUAAAAUAGCUGUGAUGUUAACUAUUCAGAUGACAGAAUCCACUGCUUCUCUGACUUGUGAGCACUGAUUUGCCACGCUGUGGUGCAUUAGACAGAGAUUAUUAUUAUAGCAGAGGAAGACAUUUUGAAACACACAAAUUAAACCUGUUAAUCCAUAUUUUCGUAAUUCAGUUCCCUGUAGGUAAAACUUGAUUUUCUUUCACCCAGCGGAUACAUCAAAACACAUCCUGUCAGAGGAAGUCUCAAGUAUUAUGGCACUUUCUACCUGUACCCUCAUCGCUGACAGGAGUUUGAUCCAGAUAUUAAUGGGACAAGGGAUGGGCUAAUGAUGGACAGCUCUGGUCUUUUGAACAGCCUCGUCUCCCUGUUUUAAGUACUCCAGGAACACCAGGUUACAUUAAUUAGGAUCCACACCAUGAUCUCAAACUCUGCUACCUCGAACCAUGUGAUGUCUGCAGUUGUGUCUGUGUGACCAGGACAAUGGAGAAGGGGCUGUUUGGAGGACAAUUUGCCUGGGACCCAUCUCACAACAGGGAACUGGAGAAGGAAAUAGGUUGUGAAAAGUCAGUGGUCCUGAGAAAACUUGCAGUGAAAAACGGGGAGCAGUGGCAGUUGUUCGCACCUCGUGUGCCGUGGCACUGCGAACAAUUUUACACCACAAGAAAUUUCCAGAACUGGAUGAAGUAGGAGAUCUGUUACAGAAGUGGAGCAAGUCGCCGUAACGGGCCUUUGUGACAGAGGCUGUAACUCAUUGAAGAUCUCUGAGCUGUCAACUGGAUCAUGGAAUUUUUUAAAGGUGCCCAGUUAUUUAUCCAAGCUCAUCCUAAAGACUCUGCUGUUGGUGAGCAUUGCAUCAAGAUCAGAAUUGUCUUCUGGAAAGUCCCAAGAUUUGGACUAAGCUUGUUACAACCCUGAAAUCCAAAUGGUGACUUAAGACACAAACACGUAUUAGGCCAAAUGUCUGUUAUUCUGGUAUGUGGUGUCUAGUUAUGUGCUUUGAGUCUUGUGUAUAAAUUGCAUACGUGUGCAUCCUUGUAGCAAUAGCAGACAACUGUGCUAUGUCUUGCAUUACCCAUGUGCCCAAAUGAAGCUUUGUGCUGAAGUUACUCUUUGGCAAGUUAAUAUAACUACAGGGAUUUAAACACUGUAAUUUCAUUGUUACCAUUAGCCUAACAAAGUAUAACUUCAGAUUGUACUUUUUGCAAAUGAGAACUUCCAGUGGCCCUCACCUCUCCAUCAUAACCAAAGCAAUUACACUGAGUUAUACUUCAUAGGUAUAACCACUCAAUUAUUUUCAGAAUGCAGCCACAAAAGUCAUCAUCUUAUGUCAGAGUAAUCUAUAUAGUGCAGCUCUACUGCAUAUAUUAGCUCUUACUCUUUUCUCUAGUAAUACCAGCUCUAUCAGCCUCUUUACUUCAGGUUUUUCUGCCUCAAAAUUGUAAAGCUUACUGAAGAAGUGCUCUCUAAUUGGGUAUGGUGUAAGUGGAGAAAAGCUCAUUAAAAUAGAGGAGUUAUUUGUGGAUGUUGCAAAAGAAAAUAAACCUUUGUAGCUGGAAUUCACUGCAUCAUUCUUUUAAUUCGUACGUGGCUUGGACCCACAUAUAAAGGGCAGUCUGGGUCAUGCCUACAGGAGCUUAAUGGCAGCUGUCGCUAUUUAAUCAAGAAAGGAGAAGAUGCACUAACAGUGGA